UACGAAGGGUGCAAACGUUGCUCGGAAUUAUUGGGCGUAAAGCGCACGUAGGCGGCAUUGUAAGUCGGAUGUGAAAUCCCUCGGCUUAACCAAGGAAGUGCAUCCGAAACUGCAGUGCUUGAGUACUUAAGAGGAUCGCGGAAUUCCCGGUGUAGAGGUGAAAUUCGUAGAUAUCGGGAGGAACAUCUGUGGCGAAGGCGGCCAUCUGGACCAGCACUGACACUGAGGCACGAAAGCGUGGGGAGCAAACAGG
This 253-nucleotide ribosomal RNA is filed under the name uncultured bacterium. Its description in RNAcentral is "partial 16S ribosomal RNA". It matches the Rfam family "Bacterial small subunit ribosomal RNA", at positions 524 to 776 of the family's 1533-position model. The record is from RNAcentral.